Molecule: ribosomal RNA, 468 nt
Filed under: uncultured bacterium
Lineage: Bacteria
Description: partial 16S ribosomal RNA
Rfam family: Bacterial small subunit ribosomal RNA
Source: RNAcentral
GACGAACGCUGGCGGCGUGCUUAACACAUGCAAGUCGAACGGAAAGGCCCUGCUUUUGUGGGGUGCUCGAGUGGCGAACGGGUGAGUAACACGUGAGUAACCUGCCCUUGACUUUGGGAUAACUUCAGGAAACUGGGGCUAAUACCGGAUAGGAGCUCCUGCUGCAUGGUGGGGGUUGGAAAGUUUCGGCGGUUGGGGAUGGACUCGCGGCUUAUCAGCUUGUUGGUGGGGUAGUGGCUUACCAAGGCUUUGACGGGUAGCCGGCCUGAGAGGGUGACCGGCCACAUUGGGACUGAGGUACGGACCAGACUCCUACGGGAGGCAGCAGUGGGGAAUAUUGCACAAUGGGCGGAAGCCUGAUGCAGCAACGCCGCGUGCGGGAUGACGGCCUUCGGGUUGUAAACCGCUUUCGCCUGUGACGAAGCGUGAGUGACGGUAAUGGGUAAAGAAGCACCGGCUAACUACGUG